GACGAACCGUGCGAACGUUAUUCGGAAUCACUGGGCUUAAAGCGCGUGUAGGCGGACUGCCACGUCGGGCGCUGAAAUCCCCCGGCUCAACCGGGGAAUGGGCACCGAUACGAGCAGUCUUGAGGGGAGUAGGGGGACCUGGAACUUCCGGUGGAGCGGUGAAAUGCGUUGAGAUCGGAAGGAACGCCCGUGGCGAAAGCGAGGUCCUGGGCUUCUACUGACGCUGAGACGCGAAAGCCAGGGGAGCAAACGGG
Molecule: ribosomal RNA, 254 nt
Filed under: uncultured bacterium
Lineage: Bacteria
Description: partial 16S ribosomal RNA
Rfam family: Bacterial small subunit ribosomal RNA
Source: RNAcentral